Molecule: small RNA, 257 nt
Filed under: Microcebus murinus (gray mouse lemur)
Lineage: Eukaryota; Metazoa; Chordata; Mammalia; Primates; Cheirogaleidae
Description: Metazoan signal recognition particle RNA (ENSMICG00000036563.2)
Rfam family: Metazoan signal recognition particle RNA (bases 1-148)
About the family: The signal recognition particle (SRP) is a universally conserved ribonucleoprotein. It is involved in the co-translational targeting of proteins to membranes. The eukaryotic SRP consists of a 300-nucleotide 7S RNA and six proteins: SRPs 72, 68, 54, 19, 14, and 9.
Source: RNAcentral
GCUGGGCAUGGUGGCGCAUGCCUGUAGUCCCAGCUACUUGGGAGGCUGAGGCAGGAGGAUCGCUUGUGCCUAGAAAUUUGAGGUUGCUGUGAGCUAGGCUGAUGCCAUGGCACUCUAGCCUGGGCAACAGAGUAAAACUCUGUCUCAAAAAGAAAAAGAGACAGGGUCUCACUCUGUUGCCUAGGCUGGAGUACAGUGGUGCAAUCAUAGCUCACUGUAAACUUGAACUCCUGGGCUCAAACGAUCAUCAUGCUUCA